CGCGAAUCGCCCUUCGGGGUGCAGCAGGCGCGAAAACUUUACAAUGCCGGCAACGGCGAUAAGGGAACCUCGAGUGCCAGGUUACAAAUCUGGCUGUCGUGAUGCCUAAAAAGCAUUGCAUAGCAAGGGCCGGGCAAGACCGGUGCCAGCCGCCGCGGUAACACCGGCGGCUCGAGUGGUAACCGUUAUUAUUGGGUCUAAAGGGUCUGUAGCCGGCCGGGUAAGUCUCUUGGGAAAUCUGGCAGCUUAACUGUCAGGCUUUCAGGAGAUACUGCCUGGCUCGAGGCCGGGAGAGGUGAGAGGUACUUCAGGGGUAGGGGUGAAAUCUUGUAAUCCUUGAAGGACCACCAGUGGCGAAGGCGUCUCACCAGAACGGACCUGACGGCAAGGGACGAAAGCUAGGGGCACGAACCGGAUUAGAUACCCGGGUAGUCCUAGCCGUAAACGAUACUCGCUAGGUGUCGGCCACGGUGCGACCGUGGUCGGUGCCGUAGGGAAGCCGUGAAGCGAGCCACCUGGGAAGUACGGCCGCAAGGCUGAAACUUAAAGGAAUUGGCGGGGGAGCAC
This 567-nucleotide ribosomal RNA is filed under the name uncultured archaeon. RNAcentral's name for it is "bacterial SSU rRNA". It matches the Rfam family "Archaeal small subunit ribosomal RNA", at positions 312 to 879 of the family's 1478-position model. The record is from RNAcentral.